UUUUUCUUGGCUCAUGACGUUUGACUACGAUUUUGCACCAUGUGACAAAAGAUUUGGACACACCUGGAAUCUGGUUUCAGCUGUGAAAUCCCCAAGUUUUCAAGUCCAUGAGAUGGCAGAGUUUUGUCUGCAAGCAUCACCAAUCCAUCCAUGAACCAUUCUUUGAACCAUUCUUUGAACUGUUCUUUGAACCAUUCUUUGAACUGUUCUUUGAACUAAUUCAUGGACCGUCAGUAGUACCAGGCAUUGUGGAACUGGCUAAGUCUGUUCCAUGAUUGGCUUUUUGUCCUCCCAUCACUCUCUGUUGCUAUCAGAAAUGCUGAGUUGACCCUCUUUUUUUCAAAGGCCCCAGCCCUGCGCUCACCCUCCCAACCAGAACAGUUUGCGGCAUCCUAUUAUUCCACAUAGUUGUUUUUACAUCCUGGCUGAACUUUCCUGUGUGAGAGGAUCAUAUAUGUGUGUCUGCAAGGACACCAGGGGCAUAACCUAACAAAUGUGUGGGGUCAAUUGGUUUCCCAAAGGGACUCUACUGAGAAGCUGGCUCACCAAGUCACGGCCCAGAUUGCUGCUGCUGAUUGCAGGGUUAAAGAGGCCCCAGGUGACCCUCAUGAGGAGGAAAAGGAUGAAGCGCACAAAAGUAGCAAAGGCCACGUAAGCGAACCUGCAGCCGAAUGCCCCACUUCUACUGAGUUCUUGACAGUGCGGAGUUGCUUAUGGAAAUCAAAGGAAAGGACAACCUUUGCGUAGCAUAAAUGCUCCAAAAAGAACUAAAAUGCAAGAAAUGCUAAACAAAAGGAAGACAGAGAACGAACUGAAGAGAUUGAGAUCUCCAGACUAAAUCAGAAAGCUUUCUUGACCACCCACUUCUGUUUUGACUCAUUGGUCACUGUACAGACUGUGACUUUGUACAUCUUUCCUAUAGAUGUGUUGGUAGAUCGCCCCCGCUGCCGUUUUCCUAGUUUAACUCUAUCUGGUUUGAGUUCGUAGGCAGCUCAAACUAGUUACUGAUUAAACUCUGUAUGUUUAACCCA
Poecilia latipinna (sailfin molly) is the source of this 1031-nucleotide long non-coding RNA. RefSeq lists it as uncharacterized. Lineage: Eukaryota; Metazoa; Chordata; Actinopteri; Cyprinodontiformes; Poeciliidae. The transcript is spliced from 3 exons. The record is from RefSeq and is a predicted model, not a curated record.